Molecule: small RNA, 354 nt
Filed under: zebrafish metagenome
Description: cspA thermoregulator
Source: RNAcentral
AUGCAAGCAGCUUGAAAGCGUGGCUCUGCUUAUCUGUUCGACCAUGGCAUUCCUUGCGGGACGUCUUAGUUGCUACAUAAGUCAACACCUCUCAGCUUUUACCGCCUGAUCACAGGCACAGUUAUAUAUGUUACUUAGGAAAUUGAUUAUGUCUGACGUCCGCACUGGCAAGGUAAAAUGGUUCAACGAGACCAAGGGUUUCGGCUUCAUCGAGCAGGACCAAGGCCCGGAUGUGUUCGUACACUUCAGAGCAAUUAACUCUCAAGGUUUCAAGACCCUGGCUGAAGGCCAACGCGUUCAGUUCAGCGUGACCCAAGGUCAAAAGGGCCCGCAGGCUGAAAACGUCACCGUUAU